CUAAAGUCUAAAACGACUCUCGGCAACGGAUAUCUCGGCUCUCGCAUCGAUGAAGAACGUAGCGAAAUGCGAUACUUGGUGUGAAUUGCAGAAUCCCGUGAACCAUCGAGUCUUUGAACGCAAGUUGCGCCCUAAGCCUUCUGGCCGAGGGCACGUCUGCCUGGGU
Molecule: ribosomal RNA, 166 nt
Filed under: Pachycladon fastigiatum
Lineage: Eukaryota; Viridiplantae; Streptophyta; Magnoliopsida; Brassicales; Brassicaceae
Also listed under: 1 other name
Description: 5.8S ribosomal RNA
Rfam family: 5.8S ribosomal RNA
About the family: 5.8S ribosomal RNA (5.8S rRNA) is a component of the large subunit of the eukaryotic ribosome. It is transcribed by RNA polymerase I as part of the 45S precursor that also contains 18S and 28S rRNA.
Source: RNAcentral